GGCGAUUGGAAGACUAUCCAAUCAGAAAUGUGCUCUGUCUGUAGCUCAUUUUGUAUUAUCAGGAUUGCUGCCAUCUGAUUGGUUGACGUCUUUAGAGGGUGGGGUUCUGGAGAGAGGUCAUGUGGAAGAUAGGAAACCAGCUUAUAGCACUUGUGGGACAUAUUUUUUUAUCACAUUCUUUGCCAUUUCAAAUUUAAUAGCAAAGACUGCAUUAGAAUUGGCUGUAUCAGAAACAGGUGGCACUUGUAGAGCCGUUCUGCCGCUCUCUGAUGAAUGAGUUGAGUGAGGGAUCUUGUUAAGUGUGUUUUUAUCUGCUUCAUCUGAACUCGGCCUUGAACUGCUGCUUCCUGGGGGAACAAGUCAUGGCACCAUGCUGCAAACACCAACUGCUUAAGACUCCGGGGAGGGUCAUGCACCUCUGAACGCAUCUGACCGGAAACUUUAUAACAGUGGUGACCUUGGAAUCAACCUAAUCAUGAAAAAAUGAAUGAAAAUAAAAUAUUACAAACCUGUUCCCUCACAUGGCAUAGCCAUAUAUUAUAGUUCAUGACGAACAGACCUUAGUGAGACCAAGCAGAGAGAGAUUAUGUAACGUUUUUGCAAUUUUAACAAUCUUAGAUCAUACAAACAUAAGUUUUUAUAAAGGAUUAAAUAUUAUUAGUGGUUUAAUGUUAUUAGGCAAGCAUCACUAUUAUUUUCACUAUGCUUUCCAUUAGGAUUUUAAACAAACCCUUGACUAUAACUAUUAAACCGGUGGAUAUUAAAAAGGGG
This is a long non-coding RNA of Cyprinus carpio carpio, 771 nucleotides long. Lineage: Eukaryota; Metazoa; Chordata; Actinopteri; Cypriniformes; Cyprinidae. The record is from Ensembl.